RNAcentral lists this ribosomal RNA (252 nucleotides) under uncultured Gardnerella sp. RNAcentral's name for it is "partial 16S ribosomal RNA". It matches the Rfam family "Bacterial small subunit ribosomal RNA", at positions 103 to 354 of the family's 1533-position model. Lineage: Bacteria; Bacillati; Actinomycetota; Actinomycetes; Bifidobacteriales; Bifidobacteriaceae. The record is from RNAcentral.
CGGGUGAGUAAUGCGUGACCAACCUGCCCCAUGCUCCAGAAUAGCUCUUGGAAACGGGUGGUAAUGCUGGAUGCUCCAACUUGACGCAUGUCUUGUUGGGAAAGUGUUUAGUGGCAUGGGAUGGGGUCGCGUCCUAUCAGCUUGUAGGCGGGAUAAUGGCCCACCUAGGCUUCGACGGGUAGCCGGCCUGAGAGGGCGGACGGCCACAUUGGGACUGAGAUACGGCCCAGACUCCUACGGGAGGCAGCAGGC